GGUGGAGAUUUAUCCUGGCUCAGGACGAACGCUGGCGGCGUGCUUAACACAUGCAAGUCGAGCGGUAAGGCCCUUCGGGGUACACGAGCGGCGAACGGGUGAGUAACACGUGGGUGAUCUGCCCUGUACUUCGGGAUAAGCCUGGGAAACUGGGUCUAAUACCGGAUAUGACCUUCGGAUGCAUGUCUGAAGGUGGAAAGAUUUAUCGGUACAGGAUGGGCCCGCGGCCUAUCAGCUUGUUGGUGGGGUAACGGCCUACCAAGGCGACGACGGGUAGCCGACCUGAGAGGGUGACCGGCCACACUGGGACUGAGACACGGCCCAGACUCCUACGGGAGGCAGCAGUGGGGAAUAUUGCACAAUGGGCGAAAGCCUGAUGCAGCGACGCCGCGUGGGGGAUGACGGCCUUCGGGUUGUAAACCCCUUUCGACAGGGACGAAGCGCAAGUGACGGUACCUGUAGAAGAAGCACCG
RNAcentral lists this ribosomal RNA (473 nucleotides) under Nocardia asteroides. RNAcentral describes it as "bacterial SSU rRNA". It matches the Rfam family "Bacterial small subunit ribosomal RNA", at positions 1 to 495 of the family's 1533-position model. Lineage: Bacteria; Bacillati; Actinomycetota; Actinomycetes; Mycobacteriales; Nocardiaceae. The record is from RNAcentral.